CCCGCUGAACUUAAGCAUAUCAAUAAGCGGAGGAAAAGAAACUAACAAGGAUUCCCCUAGUAACUGCGAGUGAAGCGGGAAAAGCUCAAAUUUGAAAUCUGGCGGUCCCUUGACUGUCCGAGUUGUAAUCUAGAGAAGUGUUACCUGUGCUGGACCGUGUACAAGUCUCCUGGAAUGGAGCAUCAUAGAGGGUGAGAAUCCCGUCUUUGACAUGGACUACCUGUACGUUGUGGUGCGCUCUCAAAGAGUCGAGUUGUUUGGGAAUGCAGCUCAAAAUGGGUGGUAAAUGCCAUCUAAAGCUAAAUAUUGGCGAGAGACCGAUAGCGAACAAGUACCGUGAGGGAAAGAUGAAAAGAACUUUGGAAAGAGAGUUAAACAGUACGUGAGAUUGCUGAAAGGGAAACGCUUGAAGUCAGUCACGUUGGCUAGAAAUCAGCCUUGCUUUUGCUUGGUGUACUUUCUGGUUGACGGGUCAGCAUCAAUUUUGACCAUUGGAUAAAGUCUUUGGGAAUGUGGCAUCCUUUUGGAUGUGUUAUAGCCCAUUGUCGGAUACGGUGGUUGGGAUUGAGGAACUCAGCAUGCCGCAAGGCCGGGUCAUUUUUGACCACGCUCGUGCUUAGGAUGCUGGCAUAAUGGCUUUAAUCGACCCGUCUUGAAACACGG
RNAcentral lists this ribosomal RNA (663 nucleotides) under uncultured fungus. RNAcentral describes it as "eukaryotic LSU rRNA". It matches the Rfam family "Eukaryotic large subunit ribosomal RNA", at positions 24 to 664 of the family's 3401-position model. The record is from RNAcentral. Lineage: Eukaryota; Fungi.